This 1126-nucleotide long non-coding RNA is filed under the name Brassica napus (rape). RNAcentral's name for it is "long non-coding RNA (BNAP_LNC008671)". The record is from RNAcentral. Lineage: Eukaryota; Viridiplantae; Streptophyta; Magnoliopsida; Brassicales; Brassicaceae.
UUCAACUGAUUUCGAUUGUAUAAAAUUUCGUUUGUAUAUGAUGAGGACUUGAUAGAUCGUAUAUUGAUUAUUGAUGUAAGAAAUACAAAGAAUUAAAAUCAGUAUAACAACCGGUACUUGAUCACUGUUUUAACAAAACACAUACAAAAGCACAACAAAACAAACAAGAAGAAAAGGAAAAUGGUAUAACUCAAACUUAGUGCAAUAGAACUCAGAUGCAUCAUCAUCAGACGUAAUGUAAAAAUUCAUCAAAUGAGAACUCGUUCUAACAAAUAAUGGCUUCUCCAUGUUUUGUAUACAGCAUCAUCUUACGAGUUGUCAAUGACCUAGAUAUGUGACAAAAGCUGUGAAUUAAAACUUUGCAAAAGAAGGAGAAAUUUAAAGAAAAAUAAAAGCAAAGGAACUUAUCUUCAAUGGGGAGAGUUUGAAUCUACUUCUUAUCCAACGUCUUCUAACGAGUUGUCAAUGUGACAAAAGCUGUGGAGUAAUUUUUUUUCCGAAGUGCGACAAACUUUGACAAACUUAGCAAUCCACAUUAUAAGCAUAUAUAAUAUAAUCAAAAUAACUGCAAAAACAUACAUAUCCGGUUUAGUAACAGGAAACGGCAAUGUUUUAAUGUUUGAGAAACAAAAAGAAAACAUAAGCUUUUAAAAUUUUAGAUUAGGGAGAGGACGGAGGAGAGGCCACUCAAGACUGAGACAAAAACCAGCUCUCGCCAAGUUUGUCCCAGUCAAUGUAAGGGACUUUGAUAGCCUUUAAUUUCUCCUCCGCACAGAGGAGCUUGGCUCAGAGUCUGUCUUUCUCUGCCUGGAUAUCGAACAGCCCCCUCUCCCCACCCCCCUCCGUGUCGAUCAUCUCAUCGAGCAACUCGAUUUGAUCUGAAAAAGAGUAGAGCUCAACUUGGGCGGAGUGCCUUUUUCAAUCUCAGUUUGCUGAUCCUCCACUAUUUGGAGGAUCGCCCGGUACCGCUCUCUUAAUUCAGCCUUCCCUUUUUCAAUCUUCAGCGGUUUGCCCGUAUUCAUCCUCCAUCAGAGGCUUCCUCUUAAAGUCAAUAUAUCCCGACAUUUUAACAUGGCAGUGUAAAGGAAAUCAGAACAAACUCUGGUGUAUAAAGUGAGGGGGAGGG